RNA transcript from Homo sapiens (human), 1820 nucleotides. It is a transcript of the gene named FSHD region gene 2 family member D, pseudogene, with no coding region annotated. The record is from RefSeq and is marked provisional. The transcript has 3 exons. NCBI's taxonomy places the organism in Eukaryota, Metazoa, Chordata, Mammalia, Primates, Hominidae.
CUCAUUCUUGUAUGCUUUUCUCAGAAGGAAAGAAAACAAGAAGGCUUUUGAGGGGACACUUGCUGGGACAGGCACUAAGCCUUCUACAGUUUGAUAGCUCUAACCAGCAGAUACAGACUUCUCAGUAGGAAGGGGUGAGGCAGCUGUCCUGAGCCAGGAGCUCCACCAUAUCGUGUCCCAUCCUGUUAAGGCAAUUUUGAGAGGCUGCUCUGGAAUAUGUCUCAAUGGUGGAUGUAGGGAAACUUCACAGGCUUUGAUGGGACUGAGGUGGUGUCUGUUGUGUGAAGACAGGAGCUGAAUGCUCAGGAUCUAGGCUGCUUUUCUUGUGGUCAGUUGGGUUACCUGUUUGGGACCAAGUCCAUGUUUACUAAGGAGGCUGAAUAAAUUCUACAGAGGAAAGUGGAGCUCCCAGGAUGACCGAGGAAGGGUAAGAAAAGGGAUCUCCUUUACAGAAAAGGGCUCAGAUAAGAAGAGACAAUUCAAACAAAAAGCCGAGACCCCCUCCUCCCAUUCCAGUGAGAAGCACAGGCAAAGACAGGAACCAGAGUCGAGCUCACAUGAGGGAAACUCCAAGAAAAGGAAAAUCGGUUCCAAGGACAGCUGCCAAGACAGAGCUGGUAGAAUUUUGCCUUUUUCCCCCAAAGGGAAAAUAAGCAGUUGACUUUUAUAGAGGGUUUGAGCAGCAAGGUGACUGAAAAAAUUUUUGAGAUCCUGGCACUCAGAGAAUAUUUGGGGACUCAGAAGGUGUUAAAUUUCACUUCAUUUAAGUACUAAUAUGGUCAGGAUGGAGGGGAAGAUUCAAAUGUUCACCUGAAGGUGCAUGGGAGGUUUUGGAAAUGAGGGUCGGUGGGAACUGUGCUGGCGAGUAUCUCACUCACAUGCUUCUUUUGCGGGGAUCUGUCCAGGAGAGGAGCACAGCUUGAUGUUGAAAAAGAAACUAAAGUCCUCCACUUUGCACAGCAAUAAACUCAAGGAGACCUGUGAUGCCCACCACAGAGGGCCUUUCAUGACUCACACUGGGUGCACCAAGCAGCACAGGUCUCAGACCCUAGGAGUUCAAUGGCUGUCAUUUCAGAAAAGCUUGGUGACUUUACAAGCUGUGUCAAGGCCAUUUAUCAAGACCUAUACUGGGUAUCGGUGCAGCAGGUCCAUUCUCCACUGACCUGGGAGCAGCUCACUCAGCUUGCCCGGUUCUGGCGGCCUCUAUGUGCUCAGGUGCAGACCUUCUAUUUUAUAGCCACCCAGGUAGGUUAUGUCUUCCCUGCUAAGAACUGGCUUGUUUCAGCCACAUUGCCUGGCCCUGGGGAUCCAGCCCUGGAUAGAGAAGCCCAUCCCUUGCCUGGGCAGGAGAUAACUGAGCCUGUCAGUGGGUCAGAUGAGGCUUGAGCUGGGUGCACCCUGACCCCAUUCAGCAGAAAUUGCAGGUCUUGGAAUGAGAGCAAGAACCUGCUAUAGGAAAGUAGCUUGAACAAUAUACUCAAAAUGGUGAACCCUGCAUUUCACAGAGGGCUAAGAUUAUAAACAAAUUUUAUGUUUCUUGUUAGACAUUUGAUGUCUUUCAGAUGUCUGGUGACAGUCAUGCAUUUCUAUAUAAUCAGACAAAUAUUAGGAUGUAAUCAUUCAUAUGCCUUUGCAAAUUUUAAAUUGUAGAAAAAUAAAUAAAAAGUUAUAUGUUUCUCUUUUAAUUCAGAAAAGGCUGUAGCCUCUAACUUUCCCACGCUGAGCCCAUGGAGGACUAAUAUCCACAAAUCUUUAAUUGUACUCCCUGUGGGAAAAUGUUAAUAUAUUUUUACAGUUUAAUAAAAUUAUGGUGAAAUCAC